GACGAACGCUGGCGGCGUGCUUAACACAUGCAAGUCGAGCGGUAAGGCCCUUUCGGGGGUACACGAGCGGCGAACGGGUGAGUAACACGUGGGUGACCUGCCCUCAGCUCUGGGAUAAGCCUGGGAAACCGGGUCUAAUACCGGAUAUGACUCCAUGACGCAUGUUGUGGGGUGGAAAGCCUUGUGCGGCUGAGGAUGGGGCCCGCGGCCUAUCAGCUUGUUGGUGGGGNGAUGGCCUACCAAGGCGACGACGGGUAGCCGGCCUGAGAGGGCGACCGGCCACACUGGGACUGAGACGCGGCCCAGACUCCUACGGGAGGCAGCAGUGGGGAAUCUUGCGCAAUGGG
RNAcentral lists this ribosomal RNA (347 nucleotides) under uncultured bacterium. RNAcentral describes it as "bacterial SSU rRNA". It matches the Rfam family "Bacterial small subunit ribosomal RNA", at positions 28 to 375 of the family's 1533-position model. The record is from RNAcentral.